Molecule: signal recognition particle RNA, 293 nt
Filed under: Colobus angolensis palliatus
Lineage: Eukaryota; Metazoa; Chordata; Mammalia; Primates; Cercopithecidae
Description: Metazoan signal recognition particle RNA (ENSCANG00000016162.1)
Rfam family: Metazoan signal recognition particle RNA
About the family: The signal recognition particle (SRP) is a universally conserved ribonucleoprotein. It is involved in the co-translational targeting of proteins to membranes.
Source: RNAcentral
GCUGGGAUGAUGGUGCAUGCCUGCAGUCCUGGCUACUCAGAAGGCUGAUACAGGAGGAUUGCUUGAGUAGUCCAGGAGUUCUGGGCUGUAGUGCGCUAUGUCAAUCAGGUGUCCACACUAAGUUCAGCAUCAAUAUGGUGACUUCAUGGGAGCAGGGAAUCACCAGGUUGCCUAACGAGGGGUGAACCGAGGAAAUGGAGCAGGUCAAAACUUCCGUACUGAUCAGUAGCAGGAUCCUGUCUGUGGACAGCCACUGCAUUCCAACCUGGGUACCACAGUGAGAUCCUAUCUCU